CCUACGGGGGGCAGCAGUGAGGAAUAUUGGUCAAUGGGCGCGAGCCUGAACCAGCCAAGUCGCGUGAAGGAUGACUGCCCUACGGGUUGUAAACUUCUUUUAUAAAGGAAUAAAGUGAGGCACGUGUGCCUUUUUGUAUGUACUUUAUGAAUAAGGAUCGGCUAAAUCCGUGCCAGCAGCCGCGGUAAUACGGAGGAUCCGAGCGUUAUCCGGAUUUAUUGGGUUUAACGGGAGCGUAGAUGGGUUGUUAAGUAAGUUGGGAAAGUUUUAGGCUCAACCGUAAAAUUGCAAUUGAUACUGGCAGCCUUGAGUACAGUUGAGGUAGGCGGAAUUCGUGGUGUAGCGGUGAAAUGCUUAGAUAUCACGAAGAACUCCGAUUGCGAAGGCAGCUUACUAAACUGCCACUGACAUUGAUGCUCGAAAGUGUGGGUAUCAAACAGGAUUAGAUACCCUAGUAGUC
This 460-nucleotide ribosomal RNA is filed under the name uncultured bacterium. RNAcentral describes it as "partial 16S ribosomal RNA". It matches the Rfam family "Bacterial small subunit ribosomal RNA", at positions 338 to 795 of the family's 1533-position model. The record is from RNAcentral.